CUUCCCUCCCGCCGCGCCACGGGAGGUGUUUCGUGGGUGCCGAGAGGGGUUUGGGAGGGAUGAGCGAGCGGGGAUUUGGAGGCGGAGGGGAGCUGCGGUCACGCCUCCGAAGGAUGAGGACGUUUUUGCUUAUUACUUGAUCUUUUCCGAUGACUUUCGGAGAGGAGCGCGGGCAGAGCUGCGCUGCUGGCCGCUUCUUCACGUUUGGGAAAUGCACGCUUAAUCUGAGGACUGGAAUUAGAGAUGAUCUGGGAGAUGAAGAACUACAAGACUGAAAGCUCCAUAAGCUGUAACGUUAACAGAGGCAAGCUUCCUGCUUUCAAGAAAUUUAGCUUACAAGGAAAUAAGCAUUGAUACUUAAGGAUAAGAGUUUCAUAAAAAAUUAAGGGAACAUCACUGCCUUGGAACAUAAAUCUAGAGAUGAAAGGACUUAGAUAAAUGUGACAGAUAAAACUGUCUCUUGUUUACUCCCUGAAAUACCACAGAACAUACCAUACCAGAUUGUGUCUCUAGAACUCUGGCCCUGCUGGAUUUACAGCAUGCAUUUCAGAACCACUGCAAGUCCAUGACGUUUUGGUCCUUUGACCUGUGCCAGAAAAGACUUGAUCACUCUUCUGCUCAUUAAGGUUUUACAUUUAAACCCUGCCACCUACCAACAGUGAGACUUUCUCCUGCCUCUGACAGGGUUUGUAAGGUUUGUAUCUGGUUUCAUCAUGGAAAUUUAAUUACUUGGAUACAGUGUGCAUAGCACAGGGCAUACAGACUAAGAGAGAGCAUCUGAAGGGCUACAGAGAAAUGCAAAAUAAGGCUGACCCAAGAAGAUCCCAACACAAUAGAGCUCAAAAUCACAGCGUAUUCAGAAGGCUCAAGCUCAGCUUCAUUUGCCUGUGUGCUGUCUGCAUUAUUACUGUCGUUCAGUUGUGCAUAUGUACGUGGUUUAUGCUCUGUCUUUAUUGCAGUGGGUGUUGUGACUGUAUGGAGCUGUAUCAGUGACGAUACCUCUAUACUGAUGAUAAGUUUCUCUGAAAGGUGAAGGCAGAGGACUACAUUUGUGCAAUUAAACCCAACUUCCUAUAGAGGGAGGAGGAAAGAUUAUAUCAAACAAGAAUGCAUCGCAAAAGCCUGCCCACAUCCCCUGCGAUUUGCUCCUUAGUGAGUCCAAAUCCCCACUAAUCCGCUCUCUGCUUUCAGCUCACAACCCAAACACUCCUCCCCGCACCCCACAUUUCUCAGCCCGUACGCUGGCCCGUGCUGCGGUGGAGGCUGAGGUCGGGGUGACCAGAGCCUGCCCGGCUGCCCAGGCGGGGCCGGUGGGAGACGGGGCAGCCUGCACCCCAGCAGGGGCUGGGGUUUACACAUUCCUGCCCAUCGGCUGCUGCAGCUGCGAUGCAAUGGCACCGUUUGGUGUCAGGGAACCCAUGAUACGUAACAAGAACUAAUAAAAGCGUGGGAUUCCAAGCGUG
This is a long non-coding RNA of Tyto alba (common barn owl), 1463 nucleotides long. RefSeq lists it as uncharacterized. Lineage: Eukaryota; Metazoa; Chordata; Aves; Strigiformes; Tytonidae. The transcript has 4 exons. The record is from RefSeq and is a predicted model, not a curated record.